Molecule: long non-coding RNA, 791 nt
Filed under: Ananas comosus (pineapple)
Lineage: Eukaryota; Viridiplantae; Streptophyta; Magnoliopsida; Poales; Bromeliaceae
Description: long non-coding RNA (ACOM_LNC033375)
Source: RNAcentral
AAUUUGAAUAUAAGUAGUCAUUGGACAAUUGGAGAUAUAGAUCAUUUAUCAACCAAUUUAUCUUUCAAACUUUUCUAAGUUAGUUAAUUAUUUUCGAUUUGAAAAAGUCUAUUGACAGACCCAAUAUUUAAAAUUUAAUUUUAAAUUUUGAAUUAAAACAUAGAUUCACGUUGGAAAUUAUGAACCAAACUUAAAAUUUCUAGUCGUUGUGAAAGGCUAAAUCAUUCUAUACACUACAACAAAAACGGUCUAUAGCGACACUUUUUAAAUGUCGGUACAGGUCAAAAAAAGUGCUGCAGGCUAAAUUAUCGACACUUUUAAAAAGUGUUGCUAUAUGUGGAGUCGCUAGGUAUAUAGUGACAGAUAAAGAGUGUCGCUAUAACCUAAAAGAGUGCUCUUAAUUUACCAACACUUAUUUAAGCAUUUAGCAAUCGCUGAAACUCUACCUCGUUGGCUGCGGUGGCGGAGGAGGACGAGAGGAAGGGAUCUUCGUAUAGGAUUUCAGUAGAUUGAGUGAGGAAAGAAGAGAAGAUGGUAAUCAAUUUUUCUUUUCGUUUUUUUUCUUUUCUGUUUUUAAUCGGGCCGAAUGGGCUGGGUGGGGUGGGUUGAGUAGAGUAACCUUUUAUUUUUGCUUGAAUUGGGCUUUAUAUUUAGGCAUUAGUAGAUUUAUUUUUAAGUUUUGGCAUAAAUGGGGCACUUACACAAAAGUGUCCCAAACAUGUGUCCCUAUAACCUAAUUCUGUUGUAGUGAUUUUUCAAACUUGAUUUAUUUUUAGUUAAUUACUUUUAGA